GACGAACGCUGGCGGCGUGCCUAAUACAUGCAAGUUGAGCGCUGAAGGUUGGUACUUGUACCCACUGGAUGAGCAGCGAACGGGUGAGUAACGCGUGGGGAAUCUGCCUUUGAGCGGGGGACAACAUUUGGAAACGAAUGCUAAUACCGCAUAAAAACUUUAAACACAAGUUUUAAGUUUGAAAGAUGCAAUUGCAUCACUCAAAGAUGAUCCCGCGUUGUAUUAGCUAGUUGGUGAGGUAAAGGCUCACCAAGGCGAUGAUGCAUAGCCGACCUGAGAGGGUGAUCGGCCACAUUGGGACUGAGACACGGCCCAAACUCCUACGGGAGGCUGCAGUAGGGAAUCUUCGGCAAUGGACGAAAGUCUGACCGAGCAACGCCGCGUGAGUGAAGAAGGGUUUCGGAUCGUAAAACUCUGUUGGUAGAGAAGAACGUUGGUGAGAGUGGAAAGCUCAUCAAGUGACGGUAACUACCCAGAAAGGGACGGCUAACUACGUG
Molecule: ribosomal RNA, 497 nt
Filed under: uncultured bacterium
Lineage: Bacteria
Description: partial 16S ribosomal RNA
Rfam family: Bacterial small subunit ribosomal RNA
Source: RNAcentral